This 615-nucleotide ribosomal RNA is filed under the name uncultured bacterium. RNAcentral's name for it is "bacterial SSU rRNA". It matches the Rfam family "Bacterial small subunit ribosomal RNA", at positions 67 to 717 of the family's 1533-position model. The record is from RNAcentral.
CGCGAACGCACCUUCGGGUGUUAUUAGAGUGGCGGACGGGUGAGUAACACGUGGGAACAUGCCUUUCGGUACGGAACAACGCUUGGAAACGAGUGCUAAUACCGUAUACGCCCUUAGGGGGAAAGAUUUAUCGCCGAAAGAUUGGCCCGCGCUAGAUUAGCUAGUUGGUAAGGUAAUGGCUUACCAAGGCGACGAUCUAUAGCUGGUUUGAGAGGAUGAUCAGCCACACUGGGACUGAGACACGGCCCAGACUCCUACGGGAGGCAGCAGUGGGGAAUAUUGGACAAUGGGGGCAACCCUGAUCCAGCGAUGCCGCGUGAGUGAUGAAGGCCUUAGGGUUGUAAAACUCUUUCAGAUGGGAUGAUAAUGACAGUACCAUCAGAAGAAGCUCCGGCUAACUCCGUGCCAGCAGCCGCGGUAAUACGGAGGGAGCUAGCGUUGUUCGGAAUUACUGGGCGUAAAGCGCGCGUAGGCGGCUUUGCAAGUAGGGGGUGAAAUCCCGGGGCUUAACCCCGGAACUGCCCUCUAAACUGCAGAGCUAGAAUCCUGGAGAGGUGAGUGGAAUUCCUAGUGUAGAGGUGAAAUUCGUAGAUAUUAGGAAGAACACCAGUGGCG